RNAcentral lists this ribosomal RNA (652 nucleotides) under Hepatozoon canis. Its description in RNAcentral is "SSU rRNA". It matches the Rfam family "Eukaryotic small subunit ribosomal RNA", at positions 168 to 808 of the family's 1831-position model. The record is from RNAcentral. Lineage: Eukaryota; Apicomplexa; Hepatozoidae.
UACAUGAGCAAAAUCUCAACUUUAUUAGAAGAGACGCAUUUAUUAGAUAAAAAGCCAAUGCAUGCUUUUACAGUAUGAAAAUUGGUGAUUUAUAAUAACUUAGCAAAUCGCAAAGUGAAAACAGGCGAUAAAUCAUUCAAGUUUCUGACCUAUCAGCUUUCGACGGUAUGGUAUUGGCUUACCGUGGCAGUGACGGUUAACGGGGGAUUAGGGUUCGAUUCCGGAGAGGGAGCCUGAGAAACGGCUACCACAUCUAAGGAAGGCAGCAGGCGCGCAAAUUACCCAAUUCUAACAGUUUGAGAGAGGUAGUAACAAGAAAUAACAAUACAAGGCAGUUAAAAUGCUUUGUAAUUGGAAUGAUAGAAAUUUAAACCCUUUUUAAAGUAUCAAUUGGAGGGCAAGUCUGGUGCCAGCAGCCGCGGUAAUUCCAGCUCCAAUAGCGUAUAUUAAAAUUGUUGCAGUUAAAAAGCUCGUAGUUGAAGUUCUGCUAAAAGUAACCGGUCUGCUUUUAAUAAAGGUGGUAUCUUGGUGUGUAUUUAGCAAUGAUGUCCUUUGAAGUGUUUUUUACUUUAUUGUAAUAAAGCAUAUUCAGGACUUUUACUUUGAGAAAAUUAGAGUGUUUCUAGCAGGCUAACGCUUUGAAUACUGCAGA